Molecule: ribosomal RNA, 492 nt
Filed under: uncultured bacterium
Lineage: Bacteria
Description: partial 16S ribosomal RNA
Rfam family: Bacterial small subunit ribosomal RNA
Source: RNAcentral
AGUGAACGCUGGCGGUAGGCCUGACACAUGCAAGUCGAACGGCAGCACAGUAAGAGCUUGCUCUUACGGGUGGCGGGUGGCGGACGGGUGAGGAAUACAUCGGAAUCUACUUUUUCGUGGGGGAUAACGUAGGGAAACUUACGCUAAUACCGCAUACGACCUACGGGUGAAAGCAGGGGAUCUUCGGACCUUGCGCGAUUGAAUGAGCCGAUGUCGGAUUAGCUAGUUGGCGGGGUAAAGGCCCACCAAGGCGACGAUCCGUAGCUGGUCUGAGAGGAUGAUCAGCCACACUGGAACUGAGACACGGUCCAGACUCCUACGGGAGGCAGCAGUGGGGAAUAUUGGACAAUGGGCGCAAGCCUGAUCCAGCCAUACCGCGUGGGUGAAGAAGGCCUUCGGGUUGUAAAGCCCUUUUGUUGGGAAAGAAAAGCAGCAGGUUAAUACCCCGCUGUUCUGACGGUACCCAAAGAAUAAGCACCGGCUAACUUCGUG